UACGUAGGAGGCGAGCGUUGUCCGGAGUUACUGGGCGUAAAGGGUGCGCAGGCGGACGGUUGCGGUUUGCGGUGAAAGCGCUGGGCUUACCUCAGCGAGGGCCGUGAAGACGGAUCGUCUUGAGGGGCGGAGAGGGACGUGGAAUUCCACGUGUAGCAGUGAAAUGACGUAGAGAUGUGGAGGAACGACCGGAUGGCGCAAGGCAGCCCCCUGGGACGUAACACCCUGGACGC
This 233-nucleotide ribosomal RNA is filed under the name uncultured bacterium. RNAcentral describes it as "partial 16S ribosomal RNA". It matches the Rfam family "Bacterial small subunit ribosomal RNA", at positions 524 to 746 of the family's 1533-position model. The record is from RNAcentral.